Molecule: ribosomal RNA, 767 nt
Filed under: uncultured bacterium
Lineage: Bacteria
Description: bacterial SSU rRNA
Rfam family: Bacterial small subunit ribosomal RNA
Source: RNAcentral
UGGCGGCGUGCUUAACACAUGCAAGUCGAGCGAAGCGGCUGAAUUGAUUCUUCGGAUGAUUUUCAGUUGACUGAGCGGCGGACGGGUGAGUAACGCGUGGGUGACCUGCCCCAUACCGGGGGAUAACAGCUGGAAACGGCUGCUAAUACCGCAUAAGCGCACAGAGCUGCGUGGCUCGGUGUGAAAAACUCCGGUGGUAUGGGAUGGGCCCGCGUCUGAUUAGGCAGUUGGCGGGGUAACGGCCCACCAAACCGACGAUCAGUAGCCGGCCUGAGAGGGCGACCGGCCACAUUUGGGACUGAGACACGGCCCAAACUCCUACGGGAGGCAGCAGUGGGGAAUAUUGCACAAUGGGGGAAACCCUGAUGCAGCGACGCCGCGUGAGCGAAGAAGUAUUUCGGUAUGUAAAGCUCUAUCAGCAGGGAAGAUAAUGACGGUACCUGACUAAGAAGCCCCGGCUAACUACGUGCCAGCAGCCGCGGUAAUACGUAGGGGGCAAGCGUUAUCCGGAUUUACUGGGUGUAAAGGGAGCGUAGACGGCAAGGCAAGUCUGAUGUGAAAACCCAGGGCUUAACCCUGGGACUGCAUUGGAAACUGUCUGGCUCGAGUGCCGGAGAGGUAAGCGGAAUUCCUAGUGUAGCGGUGAGAUGCGUAGAUAUUAGGAAGAACACCAGUGGCGAAGGCGGCUUACUGGACGGUAACUGACGUUGAGGCUCGAAAGCGUGGGGAGCAAACAGGAUUAGAUACCCUGGUAGUCCACGCCGUAA